AAAUUGAAGAGUUUGAUCAUGGCUCAGAUUGAACGCUGGCGGCAGGCCUAACACAUGCAAGUCGAACGGUAGCACAGAGAGCUUGCUCUCGGGUGACGAGUGGCGGACGGGUGAGUAAUGUCUGGGAA
RNAcentral lists this ribosomal RNA (128 nucleotides) under Enterobacter cloacae. RNAcentral's name for it is "partial 16S ribosomal RNA". It matches the Rfam family "Bacterial small subunit ribosomal RNA", at positions 1 to 123 of the family's 1533-position model. RNAcentral also lists the same sequence under 8 other names. The record is from RNAcentral. Lineage: Bacteria; Pseudomonadati; Pseudomonadota; Gammaproteobacteria; Enterobacterales; Enterobacteriaceae.